Molecule: ribosomal RNA, 582 nt
Filed under: Triticum aestivum (bread wheat)
Lineage: Eukaryota; Viridiplantae; Streptophyta; Magnoliopsida; Poales; Poaceae
Description: partial small subunit ribosomal RNA
Source: RNAcentral
AUGUCUGCAGGUCGCUCUCAGCACACGGCUACCUCGAGCAUGCGGCGCCGGCAAGAGGCCGAGCGCGCCGUGGCAGAGGAGCGUGAGCGAGCGGCUGUAGCAGCGGCUGCUGCGGCGGCAAGAGUGUCGAGGCUGGCUGCAGCGGAGCUGGCAGCAGCCAGAGCGGAGGUAGAAGCAGCCAGGGCGGAGGUUGAAGCAGCAGCAGCAGAAGCAGCCCGUGAGGCUACGGAGGAUGCCAAGGCACUCCGCGGCAGCCCCGGCAGCUCCAGCAGCUCCGCGCCUGCGGACGAAGGCGCCGACGCAGAUCGCGCCAAAGUGGCGCAGGAGCGGACGGCGCAGUGGGCAGCCGAGCACGCCCGCGCUCCAGGUGGAGGCGCGCACCGCGACGGCGGCUGCAACGACCAGGACCGCGGCCUCUACGAGGUCCGGACUGUGGUCAGGGAUGUUGGUUCCAGUGUUGGGUGGCCUACCCUCACUAAAACCAACUACGUCGAGUGGGCCGGGAUCAUGAAGGUCAGGCUCCAGGUGCGGCGCAUGUGGGAGGCAGUCCAGGACAGCAACGUCGACCACCUAGAGGAUUGA